RNAcentral lists this ribosomal RNA (497 nucleotides) under uncultured bacterium. RNAcentral's name for it is "partial 16S ribosomal RNA". It matches the Rfam family "Bacterial small subunit ribosomal RNA", at positions 28 to 507 of the family's 1533-position model. The record is from RNAcentral.
GGUGAACGCUGGCGGCGUGCCUAAUACAUGCAAGUCGAGCGAACGGACGAGAAGCUUGCUUCUCUGGUGUUAGCGGCGGACGGGUGAGUAACACGUGGAUAACCUACCUAUAAGACUGGGAUAACUUCGGGAAACCGGAGCUAAUACCGGAUAAUAUUUUGAACCGCAUGGUUCAAAAGUGAAAGACGGUCUUGCUGUCACUUAUAGAUGGAUCCGCGCUGCAUUAGCUAGUUGGUAAGGUAACGGCUUACCAAGGCAACGAUGCAUAGCCGACCUGAGAGGGUGAUCGGCCACACUGGAACUGAGACACGGUCCAGACUCCUACGGGAGGCAGCAGUAGGGAAUCUUCCGCAAUGGGCGAAAGCCUGACGGAGCAACGCCGCGUGAGUGAUGAAGGUCUUCGGAUCGUAAAACUCUGUUAUUAGGGAAGAACAUAUGUGUAAGUAACUGUGCACAUCUUGACGGUACCUAAUCAGAAAGCCACGGCUAACUACGUG